GGGGGGGGGCAAGCGUUGUUCGGAAUUACUGGGGCGUAAAGGGCGCGCAGGCGGCCUGGCAAGUCCUACGUGAAAUCCCACAGCUCAACUGUGGAACUGCGUGGGAUACUGCUAGGCUUGAGUCCGGGAGAGGAGAGUGGAAUUCCCAGUGUAGCGGUGAAAUGCGUAGAUAUUGGGAGGAACACCGGUGGCGAAGGCGGCUCUCUGGACCGGUACUGACGCUGAGGCGCGAAAGCUAGGGGAGCAAACGGGAUUAGAUACCCCGGUAGUCCUAGCCGUAAACUUUGAGCACUUGGUGUGGCGUGUAUCGACCCCUGCCGUGCCGAAGCUAACGCAUUAAGUGCUCCGCCUGGGGAGUACGGUCGCAAAGGCUG
This 374-nucleotide ribosomal RNA is filed under the name uncultured organism. Its description in RNAcentral is "partial 16S ribosomal RNA". It matches the Rfam family "Bacterial small subunit ribosomal RNA", at positions 526 to 896 of the family's 1533-position model. The record is from RNAcentral.